GAUCAUGGCUCAGGACGAACGCUGGCGGCGCGCCUAACACAUGCAAGUCGAACGGAGACAAUUAGGAGCUUGCUUUUGAUUGUCUUAGUGGCGGACGGGUGAGUAACACGUGAGCAACCUGCCUUUCAGAGGGGGAUAACGUUUGGAAACGAACGCUAAUACCGCAUGACAUAUCGGUACCGCAUGGCACUGAUAUCAAAGGAGCAAUCCGCUGAAAGAUGGGCUCGCGUCCGA
This 234-nucleotide ribosomal RNA is filed under the name uncultured bacterium. RNAcentral describes it as "partial 16S ribosomal RNA". It matches the Rfam family "Bacterial small subunit ribosomal RNA", at positions 15 to 240 of the family's 1533-position model. The record is from RNAcentral.